This 403-nucleotide ribosomal RNA is filed under the name uncultured bacterium. RNAcentral describes it as "partial 16S ribosomal RNA". It matches the Rfam family "Bacterial small subunit ribosomal RNA", at positions 30 to 526 of the family's 1533-position model. The record is from RNAcentral.
AUUGAACGCUGGCGGCAGGCCUAACACCUGCAAGUCGAACGAGUGGCGGACGGGUGCGUAAUGUAUGGGGACUGCCCGAUAGAGGGGGAUAACUACUGGAAACGGUAGCUAAUACCGCAUACUAUCGGAUAACCCAUAUGGGAUUAGCUAGUUGGUGCGGUAAUGGCUCACCAAGGCGACGAUCUCUAGCUGGUCUGAGAGGAUGACCAGCCACACUGGGACGGAGACACGGCCCAGACUCCUACGGAGGCAGCAGUGGGGAAGAUUGCGCAAUGGGGGCAACCCUGACGCAGCCAUGCCGCGUGAAUGAAGAAGGCCUUCGGGUUGUAAAGUUCUUUCGGUAGCGAGGCGUUAACUACAGAAGAAGCACCGGCUAACGCCGUGCCAGCCGCCGCGGUAAUAC